GCACCUGCAUCAGCCAUUCCGCGUGAGUGAAGAAGGCCUUCGGGUUGUAAAGCUCUUUCGCAAGGGAAGAAACGAUACAGUCUAAUAAACUGUGUUAAUGACGGUACCUUGAUAAGAAGCACCGGCUAACUACGUGCCAGCAGCCGCGGUAAUACGUAGGGUGCGAGCGUUAAUCGGAAUUACUGGGCGUAAAGCGUGCGCAGGCGGUUUUGAAAGUCAGAUGUGAAAUCCCCGGGCUCAACCUGGGAACUGCGUUUGAAACUCCAAAGCUAGAGUAUGGGAGAGGGGGGUAGAAUUCCACGUGUAGCAGUGAAAUGCGUAGAUAUGUGGAGGAACACCGAUGGCGAAGGCAGCCCCCUGGGUCAAAACUGACGCUCAUGCACGAAAGCGUGGGGAGCAAACAGGAUUAGAUACCCUGGUAGUCCACGCCCUAAACGAUGUCUACUAGUUGUCGGGUCUUAAUUGACUUGGUAACGCAGCUAACGCGUGAAGUAGACCGCCUGGGGAGUACGGUCGCAAGAUUAAAACUCAAAGGAAUUGACGGGGACCCGCACAAGCG
RNAcentral lists this ribosomal RNA (559 nucleotides) under uncultured bacterium. RNAcentral's name for it is "bacterial SSU rRNA". It matches the Rfam family "Bacterial small subunit ribosomal RNA", at positions 379 to 931 of the family's 1533-position model. The record is from RNAcentral.